This 253-nucleotide ribosomal RNA is filed under the name uncultured bacterium. RNAcentral's name for it is "partial 16S ribosomal RNA". It matches the Rfam family "Bacterial small subunit ribosomal RNA", at positions 524 to 776 of the family's 1533-position model. The record is from RNAcentral.
UACGUAUGGGGCAAGCGUUAUCCGGAUUUACUGGGUGUAAAGGGAGCGUAGGCGGCGGGGCAAGCCUGAUGUGAAAGCCCGGGGCUCAACCCCGGGACUGCAUUGGGAACUGCCCUGCUGGAGUGCCGGUGGGGCAGGCGGAACUCCUAGUGUAGCGGUGAAAUGCGUAGAUAUUAGGAGGAACACCAGUGGCGAAGGCGGCCUGCUGGACGGUGACUGACGCUGAGGCUCGAAAGCGUGGGGAGCAAACAGG